CAGAGAACGCGGAACUCUUUCUGGGUUGUGCAUUUCUUAAAUAGAGUGUGCGCAUGGGACUCUAUGCAUGUUUGUGUGAUUAUGUGUGUGUGUGAGUGUGUGUGUAGUGGUGUGCAUGGGGAGAACAAUUGCCCUUACUUAUUAUUGAGUUUCUUGCAUAAAAUAAAUUGUCACUUAAGUGCUAAAGCAACGCCUUCUUGUGUUGAGAAUUGUAUUUUUCUUUUCUUGAUUUGCUUAAAUUUAAAAAUAAUUUUAUAUUGAAUUUUUUAAUUUUUUUGCUUUUGCUUAGAAUGCAGCUAUGCAUUUUUCCCAUUAGUUGAAUAUAGACACAAAAAGAAAGCAUAUAUAAAUAUAAAAAACUUAUAAAUACAUAUAU
Molecule: long non-coding RNA, 376 nt
Organism: Drosophila navojoa
Lineage: Eukaryota; Metazoa; Arthropoda; Insecta; Diptera; Drosophilidae
Source: RefSeq, a predicted model, not a curated record